Molecule: ribosomal RNA, 442 nt
Filed under: uncultured bacterium
Lineage: Bacteria
Description: partial 16S ribosomal RNA
Rfam family: Bacterial small subunit ribosomal RNA
Source: RNAcentral
CCUACGGGGGGCAGCAGUGGGGAAUAUUGGGCAAUGGGCGGAAGCCUGAUCCAGCAACGCCGCGUGAAGGAAGAAGGCUUUCGGGUUGUAAACUUCUUUUGUCAGGGAGGAGUAGAAGACGGUACCUGACGAAUAUGCCACGGCUAACUACGUGCCAGCAGCCGCGGUAAUACGUAGGUGGCAAGCGUUGUCCGGAUGUACUGGGUGUAAAGGGCGUGUAGCCGGGUUGACAAGUCAGAUGUGAAAGCCUGCGGCUUAACCGUAGAACUGCAUUUGAAACUGUUGAUCUUGAGUACUGGAGAGGCAGACAGAAUUCCUAGUGUAGCGGUGAAAUGCGUAGAGAUUAGGAGGAACACCAGUGGCGAAGGCGGUCUGCUGGACAGCAACUGACGGUGAGGCGCGAAAGCGUGGGGAGCAAACAGGAUUAGAUACCCGUGUAGUC